This 103-nucleotide small nuclear RNA is filed under the name Myotis brandtii (Brandt's bat). Lineage: Eukaryota; Metazoa; Chordata; Mammalia; Chiroptera; Vespertilionidae. The record is from RNAcentral.
UCGCUUCAGCAGCACAUAUACUAAAAUUGGAAUGAUACGGAGAAGAUUAGCAUGGCCCUCACGCAAGGAUGAUAUGCAAAUUCAUGACAUGUUCCAUAUUUUA